This 422-nucleotide ribosomal RNA is filed under the name uncultured bacterium. RNAcentral's name for it is "bacterial SSU rRNA". It matches the Rfam family "Bacterial small subunit ribosomal RNA", at positions 361 to 775 of the family's 1533-position model. The record is from RNAcentral.
AUAUUGCACAAUGGGGGAAACCCUGAUGCAGCCAUGCCGCGUGUGUGAAGAAGGCCUUCGGGUUGUAAAGCACUUUCAGUAGGGAGGAAAGGUAAUAGUUUAAUACGCUAUUACUGUGACGUUACCUACAGAAGAAGGACAGGCUAACUCCGUGUCAGCAGCCGCGGUAAUACGGAGGGGCCGAUCGUUAAUCGGAAUUACCGGGCGUAAAGCGUGCGCAGGCGGUUUGUUAAGCGAGAUGUGAAAGCCCCGGGCUCAACCUGGGAAUUGCAUUUCGAACUGGCGAACUAGAGUCUUGUAGAGGGGGGUAGGAUUCCAGGUGUAGCGGUGAAAUGCGUAGAGAUCUGGAGGAAUACCGGUGGCGAAGGCGGCCCCCUGGACAAAGACUGACGCUCAGGCACGAAAGCGUGGGGAGCAAACAG